UACGUAGGGUGCGAGCGUUAUCCGGAAUCAUUGGGUUUAAAGGGUCCGUAGGCGGUUUAAUAAGUCAGUGGUGAAAUCUGGUCGCUUAACGAUCAAACGGCCAUUGAUACUGUUAGACUUGAAUUACUGGGAAGUAACUAGAAUAUGUAGUGUAGCGGUGAAAUGCUUAGAUAUUACAUGGAAUACCAAGUGCGAAGGCAGGUUACGACCAGUUGAGUGACGCUGAUGGACGAAAGCGUGGGGAGCGAACAGG
RNAcentral lists this ribosomal RNA (253 nucleotides) under uncultured bacterium. Its description in RNAcentral is "partial 16S ribosomal RNA". It matches the Rfam family "Bacterial small subunit ribosomal RNA", at positions 524 to 776 of the family's 1533-position model. The record is from RNAcentral.